Molecule: small RNA, 193 nt
Filed under: Arabidopsis thaliana (thale cress)
Lineage: Eukaryota; Viridiplantae; Streptophyta; Magnoliopsida; Brassicales; Brassicaceae
Description: ATSL148960
Source: RNAcentral
AAAAUAAAAUUAAUACGAGACGGUAUAUUACGAGUGAGAUCCUAGAUAUAACAAUAAAAAUAGAAUUACGAAGUUUCGGUCGAUAAUUGUAUUUUGCUUGUUAAAUCUAUGAUUUCACCUAUUGUAUAUCAUCUCGUAUUAAUAACGACUUAAACUUAUCUCACCAUAUAACCAUAUUCCCUGAAAUUAAACA